This 325-nucleotide ribosomal RNA is filed under the name uncultured eukaryote. RNAcentral describes it as "partial 18S ribosomal RNA". It matches the Rfam family "Eukaryotic small subunit ribosomal RNA", at positions 1470 to 1796 of the family's 1831-position model. The record is from RNAcentral.
CCCUUAGACGUUCUGGGCCGCACGCGCGCUACACUGACCAGUGCAACAAGCAUCCGUCCUUGGCCGACAGGCCCGGGCAAUCUUUGAACGCUGGUCGUGAUGGGGAUAGACUUUUGCAAUUUUUGGUCUUCAACGAGGAAUUCCUAGUAAGCGCGAGUCAUCAGCUCGUGCUGAUUACGUCCCUGCCCUUUGUACACACCGCCCGUCGCUCCUACCGAUUGAGUGCUCAGGUGAAUAAUUCGGACUGCAGCAGUGUUUGGAUCCCGAACGCUGCAGCGGAAAGUUUAGUGAACCUUAUCACUUAGAGGAAGGAGAAGUCGUAACA